Molecule: ribosomal RNA, 541 nt
Filed under: uncultured Geobacter sp.
Lineage: Bacteria; Pseudomonadati; Thermodesulfobacteriota; Desulfuromonadia; Geobacterales; Geobacteraceae
Description: bacterial SSU rRNA
Rfam family: Bacterial small subunit ribosomal RNA
Source: RNAcentral
AGAGUUUGAUCCUGGCUCAGGACGAACGCUGGCGGCGUGCCUAACACAUGCAAGUCGAACGUGAUCCAGAGCUUGCUCUGGUGAAAGUGGCGCACGGGUGAGUAACGCGUGGAUAACCUACCCUGGUAUCCGGGAUAACAUUCCGAAAGGGGUGCUAAUACCGGAUAAGCCCACGGGCUCUUUGGAGCUUGCGGGAAAAGGUGGCCUCUAUUUAUAAGCUACUGUAUCAGGAUGGGUCCGCGUACCAUUAGCUAGUUGGCGGUGUAACGGACCACCAAGGCGACGAUGGUUAGCUGGUCUGAGAGGAUGAUCAGCCACACUGUAACUGAGACACGGUCCAGACUCCUACGGGAGGCAGCAGUGGGGAAUUUUGCGCAAUGGGGGAAACCCUGACGCAGCAACGCCGCGUGAGUGAUGAAGGCCUUUGGGUCGUAAAGCUCUGUCAGAGGGGAAGAAAUGAUAUAGUGCUAAUACCACUUUAUCUUGACGGUACCCUCAAAGGAAGCACCGGCUAACUCCGUGCCAGCAGCCGCGGUAAUAC